This is a long non-coding RNA of Oryzias melastigma (Indian medaka), 1496 nucleotides long. RefSeq lists it as uncharacterized. The transcript has 2 exons. The record is from RefSeq and is a predicted model, not a curated record. Lineage: Eukaryota; Metazoa; Chordata; Actinopteri; Beloniformes; Adrianichthyidae.
AAACACCUCCUGAUAAAGACUUUAGUGGGAGUGAGCGAAACAGAGCAGGAGAUUUGGUGAAGAAAUGAGAGGGAGUUAAGGCCUGAAAGAAUCUAUUUUUAGGCUUCGGAGAGAAAUCAGGUGUCUAUGCCAGUGGAAAAGAGGGUGGGGGGGGGUAUGGAUGCAGUGACAUGAAGCAGUGCUGUCACUUUCAUUUUACAAGAUCCAUGUGAGUCAGAGUUGCGCCGAGAGCUGCGGGAGGAACGGCGCUGGAGCAAAACACAGGCGCAUAUAAAAUUACAGAUACAGUGGGAGUCAUAACGUCCUGAAGGCCGUGGCGAUAAUGAAGAACUGAGAUCCACCUGUGAAUUCCUGUCUGGAUGCUGCAGAAAGGAUCUCUGAAAAUGUUGCUGAUUAUAUGAGCUGAAAAUGCAUCAGCUUUGUUUGUCCAAAGCAGCUUUUCCUGCUUAAGAGCAAAGACAAUUCCUGGUAGAAAAAUAUUUUUUAAAAAAAGCCCAGAUCAAAAGGCCUGUCAGGCUUCUGCACAGAGGCAAAGCAGAUGACUGAGCAAAUAUUAGGAGUCCAUGCAACCCAUGUUCAUCCCAUCAGACAACGUGCAAAUUCUGCAAGUAUUUCAACAUUUCUACAGAAUUUGAAGAACUUUUUGAGUUUCCAAAACAAAAGUAGCACACACACGAAGCAUUUUUGAAUGUGCUGCAUUCUCGUUCACAUAAAUUAUUAAACAAGCCUUGUGCUAAAAAAAAAAAAAAAAAAAGUUACUUAAUGUUUUGCCAAGAAAUGAAAGUUCACAUGACAGUAAAGCCAGUGAAGAGCAAUAAAUGUUAACGCCAUGCACUUAUUGUAUGAGGUUAUGGACUAAUGUGUAAUCUGAGAUCUAUGUGUGUCUGCACAUUUGCAUAGUCUUCAACGUAAAUAGUCUCCAUUGGGCUUGGUGGAAAAUCCUUUCUGUGACUACGUGGCAUUUUCAAGUCUGUGGAGAUUUUUGCAAGACAAAUGUGAACUGAAAACACAAGUUAUUGAAGAAGCCCAAAUACAGGAUCUGAGUUGUGCUGGCAACACACAAGAAACAUUUCCUCUUUCUUACAGAACAUUUUGUUUGUCUAGAGAUAAACUACAAAUAUGCUAAAAAGUAUCAAACAGUAAAACAUUGACCUUUUAAUAAAAGUGUAAAGAAAAAUCCACCCAAAAAAAAAAAAAUCACUAAAAUACAGAAAAGUAUAGCCAAAAAAACACACAAGUCUAAACAAAAAUAUGGUAGCAAUUGCAAGGAGGAAGAACAUUCUUAAGAAAAUAGAUUUUACAAGAAUGGACCUGUCAUCAUUCUACCGAGCAGUAGAAGAUGUUCGUAAAAACGCUCUUUUUUUUCAGUAAAUUAUUCUCUGCAUGUGUUCAAUAUUUAACUGGCAAUUAAAAGGAGAACUAAAAAAAAUCUUUUUUUUUUUUAAAAAUAAAGUGAGCAAAAAGCUUUGCUUUGCAAAAUCUUGUUUAAAAAAAAA